GGACCUCAAGGUCUGUGUCAAUGGUUUCUCCCUCAGACCUGACACUCUGGAAACCUCGAAUAUGGAGUUCACACGUGCACCUGCAGCCAUAACUCGUGAUGGGGAUCAGCCGGAAGGAUGGUGCUGGUUCGCUCAGGUUUUCCCAUGAAGCUCCUCACAGAUUGGGCAACGUGCAAACGGGCCGACAUGUAAACGCUUGGGUAGAAACGGACAGAGGAGUGCCUCUUUGCCUGGGCGAGGCCUGGUCAUCCUUCAGAUCUCAGCUCAACACAUUGCCUUUCCAGGGAUGGCUUUUCUGACCCCCGGGCCAGAUCAGAAAAUCGUCACAGAGACCAAUUAAGAAGCUUGCAUGUAAAAAGUGGCAGAGCUGGGAUCCGAACCCUGGCAGUCUGGCUCUGGACACCACCUCUUGCCCAUCGCCCUCCACUGCUGUGCUGAUCUGUCGUCCUUCCCUCCCACUGCCAGUUCCCCUUUCCGUCCAACAGUUACUUAUUGAUCAGUCGCUCUGUUCCAAGCACUGUGCCAGUAGGGCCCAGCCCUUGUGGAGGUGACAGUCUGUCAGGUGGAGCCCUGGCUCUGCCAUGUCCUGAUCCCGUGACCUUGGAGAAGUCAUUUAACUUCGCUGUGUCUCAGUGUCUUCGUGAUGACAUGGUGUGAUAGUCCCGGUCUCCUCAGGCUGUGGGGAAGAUGGAGUGACUCAAAGCUGCGGAAAGCUGGGGCCGGGCACACGGAGGGCAUGGGAAGCAUGAGUGUAAUCCUAUUGGUGUCAUACUGGAGAAGCUCUUCCAACCCACGGGGCCUGGCCGCCAAGUGGAAGAGUGGAAGCAGCAGCAAGCCAGAGCCCGACACCCUGGCCUUAAGCCCUGGCUUUGGCACCGUGACUGUCCCAAACAUGGGAUUUUGGACAAGCUGCUUCGUCUUUCUGAUUUUUUUCCUCUGUAAAACAGGAAUGACUAAUACCAACCUUGUGGUGUCCUUGUGGUUGUUCAAUGAAGUAACAAGGCUGAGAGCUUGGCACAUAAUAGGGGCCUUUGGAAGAUUUCGUUUCCUGUCCUCUAGAGGAAUCGGGAGGCGGAAUAGCCCAGGGGUCAGCACAUCUGGAGGUCUGACGUGUCCCCUUCUCCCAGGGAAGGCCCCGACCUGACACGCUGCAGGAUGCUGUUUUCUUCUUUCGCUUCCUUUCUUUGUUCCUGUUCGAAUUUCGUUUCUUGAGAAAGAAGAGUGUUUCACACAGCCCCGCCCAUGCAUGGGGCUCUGUGUUAACUGUCCUGGUGCCUGGCAGAGGGCUCCGUCUUGGUCUUUUGUCCCCCAGGGCAGAUGGAGGACAGUUGGUGGGUGUGGGGUCGCAGGGCUGCUCUGCUCGUAAGGCCCCGAGAAACCAGAGGGCAGGCUGGGAGCUGAGGGCUGAGAGGCAGCUGAGGACUGGGAAGCCCCGUCUGGUCCAGCCUCCUCCAAGGUCAAGGGGUGUCCUGGCCCCCCUCUCUCCCCUCCCAU
RNAcentral lists this long non-coding RNA (1494 nucleotides) under Equus caballus (horse). RNAcentral describes it as "lncRNA (ENSECAG00000053350.1)". The record is from RNAcentral. Lineage: Eukaryota; Metazoa; Chordata; Mammalia; Perissodactyla; Equidae.